AGGAUUGGGGUACCUAUUCCGCCUAGAGGAGCCUGUCCUAUAAUCGAUACCCCACGUUUCACCCAACCACCCCUUGCAAUUCAGCCUAUAUACCGCCGUCGUCAGCUUACCUUGUGAAAGAGACAAAGUAGGCAAAACAGUUACUAACAAAUACGUCAGGUCAAGGUGUAGCAUAUGGAGUGGAAGAGAUGGGCUACAUUUUCUUUAACAGAAAACCACGAAUGGCACCAUGAAACAGGUGCCUAAAGGCGGAUUUAGCAGUAAGAUGAAUAAGCCACUUUAUCUUAAGCCCGCUCUAGGGUGCGC
This 306-nucleotide ribosomal RNA is filed under the name Riopa guentheri. RNAcentral describes it as "Lygosoma guentheri partial 12S ribosomal RNA". The record is from RNAcentral. Lineage: Eukaryota; Metazoa; Chordata; Lepidosauria; Squamata; Scincidae.